CCUGCCCUUUAGUUGGGGACAACAUUCCGAAAGGGGUGCUAAUACCGAAUGUGACAGUUUUCUCGCAUGAGAUUACUGUGAAAGAUGGCCUCUAUUUAUAAGCUAUCGCUAAAGGAUGGGCCUGCGUCUGAUUAGCUAGUUGGUGGGGUAACGGCCUACCAAGGCGAUGAUCAGUAGCCGGUCUGAGAGGAUGAACGGCCACAUUGGGACUGAGACACGGCCCAGACUCCUACGGGAGGCAGCAGUGGGGAAUCUUCCGCAAUGGACGAAAGCCUGACGGAGCAAUGCCGCGUGAGUGAUGAAGGAAUUCGUUCCGUAAAGCUCUUUUGUUUAUGACGAAUGUGCAGACUGUGAAUAAUGGUUUGUAAUGACGGUAGUAAACGAAUAAGCCACGGCUAACUACGUGCCAGCAGCCGCGGUAAUACGUAGGUGGCGAGCGUUGUCCGGAAUUAUUGGGCGUAAAGAGCAUGUAGGCGGUUUUUUAAGUCCGGAGUGAAAAUGCGGGGCUCAACCCCGUAUGGCUCUGGAUACUGGAAGACUUGAGUGCAGGAGAGGAAAGGGGAAUUCCCAGUGUAGCGGUGAAAUGCGUAGAUAUUGGGAGGAACACCGGUGGCGAAGGCGCCUUUCUG
RNAcentral lists this ribosomal RNA (629 nucleotides) under uncultured bacterium. Its description in RNAcentral is "bacterial SSU rRNA". It matches the Rfam family "Bacterial small subunit ribosomal RNA", at positions 125 to 731 of the family's 1533-position model. The record is from RNAcentral.